Gossypium arboreum is the source of this 456-nucleotide long non-coding RNA. RefSeq lists it as uncharacterized. Lineage: Eukaryota; Viridiplantae; Streptophyta; Magnoliopsida; Malvales; Malvaceae. The transcript has 2 exons. The record is from RefSeq and is a predicted model, not a curated record.
AUAAGUCUCGAUUUUCAACGUGAUUUCAACGGUUUACGGUGCGAAUCACGGCGAUGAUGAGGGAAUUGAUAGCGGCUCGAUACGAGGUCUGUGGAUGCUUGCGGCGCUGAAAGGUGCAGAAACCCUAGGGUUCCUGACCUAGGGUUAAGCAUUUGGGCCUUCGGGAUGCAGCUUAUUGGGUCUUAGUAGUAGGCUUUUAGAAAUGGGUCUGUAAUGUAACGGGUUGCGUCUACUGGGUAGUGUUGGUAUUUGGGUUUGAUUUAGGCUAAUGGGGUAUUGGGUGUUGGGCCACGAGUGUAAUGGGUUUAUGGGGUAUAAUUUGCCUUUUGGGCUUUAUUUCUUUUGUAACAUGGACUAUACAAAUUGGACAUUUUUUUUUUUUUGGUUUUCUGUUUGGUUUAUUAAGCCCGGGCGAAUUUGGGCUAUUAUAAUAUUUUUAUGUAUAUUAUGUAUAUA